ACCAUUAAAUACGCAAAUUAAUUCUAGUAUACGUCUCUAUGCCCACAAUAAAAGGUGGUAAAGACAAUUAGAAUUAGAGGUGACUUAAUUCAUUUCCCAAAUUUCGAAUUUAAUUUGAAACUUGCAGACAAAAUAAUGACUUGUACUGUUGCGCAGAUUAGUCAAAAAAGAUGAAGUUAGAAUUGAUUAGAGAAGCUUCUUUCAUUUUCCAUUAAAGGGACCAAAGAUAUGUGGCUAUAUUUGAUUUAGUUUCAUUCUGCAAUUGGCUUCACUUGUAAAUAGUCUUCGUCAAUUUCACACUCCAAUUAAUUAAUUAGUUAAAAUUGAUUGGAGACAAAAACCAUUUA
Molecule: long non-coding RNA, 347 nt
Filed under: Salvia miltiorrhiza (redroot sage)
Lineage: Eukaryota; Viridiplantae; Streptophyta; Magnoliopsida; Lamiales; Lamiaceae
Description: long non-coding RNA (SMIL_LNC001571)
Source: RNAcentral